Callithrix jacchus (white-tufted-ear marmoset) is the source of this 676-nucleotide long non-coding RNA. RefSeq lists it as uncharacterized. NCBI's taxonomy places the organism in Eukaryota, Metazoa, Chordata, Mammalia, Primates, Cebidae. The record is from RefSeq and is a predicted model, not a curated record.
ACGUGGACCGCGCGUGCGCGCACGCACGCAACCCGGCUCGGUGGAGCGCAGGGUGGGGCGGUAGGCGCGGUGGACCGCGUGGGAGGACGAGGCGGGAGCGCGCACGCACGCCGACCCGCGGGCCCCAUGUGCGCCAACACUCAGGGCGGGCUCCCGGGCACGCAUGCGCCACUGGUGAGGCGGCGCGCUCCUGGCCGGGAGAUGCUGGGCGCGGCGGGACAGGCGCGGCCCUGCGGCCUCUUCGGCGGGAGGCGGGAUUCGCUCGGGCAGACGCGGUCAGGCACGCGGCUUCCAGGCGCUGGCCAGCCUGUCGUUGUCUGCGCCCCGUGGAGUGAGGGUACUUGGGGUCUUUGGGGCAUAGGCCGGCGCAGGACCGGUGCAGUGGCUCACGCCUGUAAUGCCAGCACUGGGAGGCUGAGGUGGAUGGAUCACUUGAGGUUCGAGGUGCAAGACCAGCUUGGCCAAUGUGGUGAAACCCCAUCUCUGCUAAAAAUGCAAAAGUUAGCCUGGUGUGGUGGCACGCAUCUGUAAUCCCAGCUACUUGGGAGGCUGAGGCAGGAGGAUCACUUCAGCCUGGGAGGUGGAGGCUGCAGUGAGCCAUGAUUGUGCCACUGCCAGCCUGGGCAACUGAACACGACCCUGCCUCAAAUAAACAGACAAAAUGCUGUUCCCCACA